GCCAACAUUUAAGAGAGAGUUUAUUAUUCCAAAGUGUUAGCUCCAACUUUAUUGAUGAAGAAACAUAUUGAGGGAAUUUAAGGGACUUGCCCAAGGUCAAAAAUAAUUAAAGACUGAGUCUGAGACUUAAACCUAAUUUUAUAAUACAUCAUAAUCCUUCUUAAUUAUAUCAUCUCCACUUUAUCUUUUAAAAAGUACAGAGGAAAUAAAAAGCUCUGCCAAAGAUUACUCAACUAUUAAGCACGGACCAGGUAUUUGAAUCCCAACUCUGUCAGAAUGGAGAAUGAGAUUCUUUUCUAGGCUUAGGAAUCUGAAAACCUGGGUUUCUAUAAAGAGAUCAUUCUCUGACCCUUGAGAUAUAAAAAAUAUCUGGGAGUUCCUGUUGUAGUGCAGCAGAAAUGAAUCCAACUAGAAACCAUGAGGUUGCGGGUUCGAUCCCUGACCUCGUGAGCUGUGGUGUAGGUCGCAGACACGGCUCGGAUUGGCGUUGCUGUGGCUGUGGCAUAGGCUGGUGGCUGUAGAUCCGAUUAGACCCCUAGCCUGGGAGCCUCCAUAUGCCGUGGGUGCAGCCCUAAAAGAAAAGACAAAUGACAAAAAUAUCUGAAAAUAUCUGAAAAAAUCAGAGUUCCUCCAAACUACUGAAAAUUUUGUUAGUGAAUGGAAAAUAAUCUAAUGUUUCCCUCACUGCCUGUUCUUAUUUUCUGAUUUUUUUAAGAGCUGAAGAAUAUCCUAUAGGCUUUCAUAAUUAAUUUGAAGUGGAGCAGACAAGUUCACGCAAUAAUAGUAGAAAAUGCAUAAAUAAAUUAUAGGUCAGGCUAGACGUUUCCUGCAUGAUAAAGGUAUCAUGAAAGCAAAGUAGUACCGGUACAUGAACAGACAGGCAGGACAAGGGGUGGAAUACAAAGCCCAGAAUCAAACAAAAUAUAUGUCAGAAUUUGGCAUUUGAAAAAAAUGAAACUACAAUUCAGGAGAUAAAAUGCAAUUACUCAAUGAAUGGUGUUAGGAAAAACAGUGGUGAUUUGGAGGGGAGUAUCUCAACCCUUAUACUUACAGAAAUUGCUGAGGAUUCAAGGACUGUUUUUUUUGUCCUGUGGCCUCACCCACGGCAUGUGUGGGUCAAGGAUCGAACUCGCGCCACCCAAGCCACUGCAGUGACAACACAGGAUACUUAACUUGAUGAGCCACAUGGGAAUGUCAAGACUUAAUUUUUAAAUCAUGCACUUAGUAGAAAAAAUAUACAUAUAAAAUCUCAACAUACAGAAGGCAUAAGUAUGGCAUAAAACCCACACUCUCUGGAAGUGUGAUAAACUGAACACAAAAACAUGUCUGCAUGGAAAAAAAUAUAAACAUUGCAAAAACAAAAAUAUAAACUGAAAACAAGUACAGUUAAGCUCAGAAACAAAGGGGAAAAGGCCCUUCAAUGGAACAUACAGGCAAACGAUGUGAAAUUCCUGAUUUUCAGAGAAGAAAAAUGUAAAUAGGUCUUAAAACAUCGACUGACAUAUCAAAAGAGAAAAGCUAUUAAAAGUAUAGUGUCAUAUUUUCCAGCUAUGAGAUGAUGGGGAAAACAUACUUGGCAGACACACUAUGUUGGAGAGGCAAUAGCUUAAUCAACAUUUUAUAUAUUGCUGUAGGAAUGGAAAUGAAUAAACCUCUAAGAAUGGCAGGUUGCUCCUCCACUUUUCAAUCCACCGUCGCUUUAUACUUUCUCUUCCCUUUUUGGGGGGGCUGCUCUGUGCCCUCGGGGCUUUAUCUCUGCAGACCACAUGGCCUAGAUCCCUUUGUCAAUUGGCUUCUGUCAAUGGGAGGUGCCAGAAACAUCUGAGCGUCUCACUCUCCUCCUUAAGGUUGCACCUGCGGAGCAGCAAUGGACACGGAUACACAUCAGCAAAGCUAAACUUUCAAGCGAAGGACAGUCUGGGGAGGGUUGAUUUGAAGACGGGUCCCAGCUCCUCCCACCUUGAGCAAUUCAGCUUUCACCCCAAACCUGCAAACUCCAUCCAGCCGAACAAAGGGCCUUUGAGAAGAAGCCCAUUCAGCCUUCUCUGUGGACAGCGUCCUGGCCACCUAUCGUUCUUCCGAAACACCUUUCAGUUCAGCGGCUUUCCAGAAGGUUUUCCAAUCUCAGGGAGGUAUUCUCACUGCCUGAAGGCCUUUGGUUUGGUUUGGUUUUGAACACGCUAUUGAACCAAGGUUUCAAAAGCCCAGUGAUGCUCACAGUCAAGGCCAGGCUGUCACACACGUACGUGUGCUAAGCCGUCUCUGUAGGCAUCACCGACUUCCCAGAAGGUCUCCAUAACUCUGCCUGGGGAGGCCCCUGAAGAGGGGACCACCCAACUGGUUCUCAAAGAUGUCGGAAUGUGCCAGGGGCAGGAGGAGGAGAAAUGGCUUUUGAAGAGGAGAAACUUGUGUGUGCUGCGUGAGGCCAGGGGGGUUGGGGAGGGGGGCGGGAGCAGAAUAUGUUCAGAGGUGGUGAUGAAUUCUGUGCCGUCAUAACUCAGAGUGGGAUGCAGAGCAGACAGAAGAGGUAAGUUUAGAUGAGCAAGGAAGAUGCUCCUGGGAAAGGCCUGGUAAACCCUCUCCAAUACGUUUAACAGAAUGGGAUUACUUGGAGACGCUCUGUAGAAAGCGUUCUUUGCUAAACGUUGGGGAAGCCGAGCAUCUCCAAGAUGUGUGACGCACGGUUACACAUUAAAAGCUCCGAAAAGCCUCAACAAUAAGACAUCUUAAGCUUUAUUUAAUCCGGAACUUCCAAGUUUUGCAUUCAGGAUUCAAGCCAGAAAGUCAACAUUGGCAGAGCACACGGGUGAGAGCAGACCCUCUCCAGCACCAAGGAGCCACAGGCAGAGCCCUAAAGAAAAUGUUUGGUAUCAACAUGAGCAAAGAAGAGUAAUUUUCUCAAAAGAGGAACAGGGGUCGUGAGAGCUGUGACAUCAGAAAAUGAACCUGACUGCCUAUUUCUUCUUUCCUGGAACUAAUAUCCAAGAGAGGAUCCAAAGAACCUGGAAAAAGAAGUGAAAAUUCGAUUAUAAUGGAAUAUAUUCUCUGUGUUUCUCAGUGAGGAGGUUUGAUAUUUAUCAUAUGUAAUUAUGGUUUGUUAUGUAAAAAUUGAGCUUAAGAUAAUGACAUAGUAAACAGCUUAUUGAUUUCCAUUUGAGAUGUUUCUUCUGUUUGCUUUAAUUUUCUCCCCAGGGGGUGGCGGGGGGGGGGGGGGGGGGGGGGGGGGAACAAGCACAAUCACUUGAGGACCCAGAGAUUGAAGGAGAGGUCUUCUUUCUUUUGUUUUUCUUUCCUGUUCUCCUCCUGCAAGUCCCUCCAACACAAGCCAUCUGUCCUUCUUCCCUUGAGUUAAAAGCAACCUACGUCAGAUCGAAACGGGGAAGAAGAUAAAUCACCACCCCUCUGCCGAACACAGAAAGCUAAAAGGGAGAAAAGAAAUUGCAUUUGCUUUUGCACUCAAUAUAUCAAAGUAAUUUAUGUCAUAACCACUCUGGCUGCUCUCAUACAUAUUCGGUUUUAAAUAAAAUCAAUCUUUCCAAACCUGUAAUAGCUUUCUUUAUAAGGCUCUUAGAAAAAAAAAAAAAGGUGCUGGAAUCUGGUUCCAUUAGAGGCAAGGCUGGUUUAUUGCCUCACAAAAUCACUCGUUCUAAUGAGGUGCAAGGUUAAGAGACAUCCCUCAAACACAUUAAACAGUUAAUGACCCGCAAGGAGCUGGGAAUUAGGUGGUUGAGUGUACAUCCAAUCCAGGCAGGGAAGGGUUAAUUGUGUACCUUUUCAGACCCCUGCCAGCUCUGGGAGGAGGGACCAACUGCUGGGACCAAGAAGGAUUCCAGCACACCCAGCACCCAGAGGAUACCCCAGGCACCGGGUGUGUGGACCAGACAGUGCCUACUGGACAUUUCCUACCUGGGCAAGGAAGGCAGCCACUGCUUGCAAGCACUUGCUGUAGGAUGAAAAGCAUCCUACAGGGACUGGUGUGAGAGGGGCACGGCUCUGUACUCCUAAGUACCCUGUGACGGCUGUGCUCUAAUUUCCCCCCAGUUCGCAGAAGAGGAAACUGAGACAUAAAGAGGUUAAGGAGUGGCCCAAGGUCAUCGCACAGCAAGUAAACAGCAGAACUGGAACCAAGCCUGUCUGAUUCUGGGUAAUCAGAGUUUAACUAUGCCACCCCCUGGGCUCCUGUCUUAUCCAUCAGAUGCUGUAUAUAUACAACGCCUUUUUUGAUGCUACACCCCUUUUUUUAUGAUGGGGAAACCGAGGCUCAGGGGUUGAAGUGCUUUGCCCCAGCCCUGUCUCCCUGAUUUAAAGCCCAUGGGCUUUUUUUUUUUUUUUUUUUCCUCUUCUUCCCUUUUUUCUUUGUAGGGCUGCACUUGCAGCAUAUGGAAGCUCCUGGGCUAGAGGUCGAAUUGGAGUUACAGCUGCUGGCCACAGCCACAGCCACAACAAUGCUGGAUCUGAGCCACAUCUGUGAUCUUUGCUGAAGCUUGUAGCAAUGACAGAU
RNAcentral lists this long non-coding RNA (4501 nucleotides) under Sus scrofa (pig). RNAcentral describes it as "lncRNA (ENSSSCG00065044435.1)". Lineage: Eukaryota; Metazoa; Chordata; Mammalia; Artiodactyla; Suidae. The record is from RNAcentral.